This 45-nucleotide non-coding RNA is filed under the name Trichobilharzia regenti. Lineage: Eukaryota; Metazoa; Platyhelminthes; Trematoda; Strigeidida; Schistosomatidae. The record is from RNAcentral.
ACCCAGAUGACGAGCCCAAAAUAGGACGAAGUGCGCGUCCUAUAU